GGGAUGACCCCCCUGCAGAUGAUGCCUGGACGACCACACUUGGGGCUCCACCUCUUUGACCGUCCUAAGGUGAGGCCCAGCUUGCAGGGAAUAUGGGCUAGAUGUGCUGACUCUGAUGGGAUAAAGGUGGGACCCCUCUGCCCGUGGGUAACCCCAUAAACUUCACAGUCUGGAAGGAACAUGGAUCUGGAGGAGACCCAGGCCCAGGUCCUGGUGACGAUGUGACUGCUGAGAACAUGUCUCCUGGGGGGCCUCAAGAAGCAGAGAGAGGAAACAAAACCUUUCUUCUGCUCAUCUGCUUUGCUUCCUGGAAAUCUUUUCCAAGCAGCUCUGCCCUUGCUGCAGCCCUGUCUUGGAGGCUUUCCAGCUGCUCCAAGAAGAAGCCUGGUCCAAGGUUAAUAAGACUGAGUUGGAGCUGUGUGACUCUGCUUUCCUUGCUGCCCCAAAAUAGGUGGCACCUCAGCUCGUGGCUGAGCAUCCCUGGUCCAUCGUGUCCUCCUGCCACUGACGCAGACGGGUCCAAGCCGAGCGCGCAGAGAGAGCCCGGGAUGGAUGGAGCGAUCCGACCUCCUUUCCCAGGCUCACCCCGGGUUUUAGCGAAGAGCUCUGUCACCGCAGGAGGUGGAGGGGGGGGCGCAGCACCGAACAAAUGCUUUGUGACAGCCGGGAAAUGCCGUGGCCUUUGCGAUGGAGCGGAGCUGACGGGCGGCACCGCUCCCUGUGCGAGCUGAGCCUCCCCUUCCAGCGCUGCUCCGCAGGGACCGCGCCUGCGGAACGGAGCUGGGAGGUGGAGUCAGCAGAGGCUGACUGGACCCCUUUGAGAGGGGCUCGGACCCCCUGGAGCCCCCUUGGAGGAGGCUUUUUGCGUGCAGAGUGCAAGCUGCAUCCGUAGUUAUUGCCCUGUUUUCAAACUUCGUUGCUGUUUUUGUCCCCCUCUCCCUGGUGCUGGAUGUGGGUCCUGAGCCUUCUGCUGCAGCCAGUGCUGCUGGUGCUGGGUUCACCCCCGCAUCCUUGUGGAUCUGCAGCGGUUCUUGCUGGAAUGCAUACGGUUUGCAUCAAGAUGAAGGAAAUCUCGGGGAUUUUUGGAGCAUCAGCAAGACAUGGGGCAGCUGGAGAGCGUUCCCGGCCAUCCACAGUCCCGAUUUGGUGCAGCCUUUAAGGGUUCUCCGUUCCAUGGACCAUUGUGCUCAAACGGGAUGGGCACUGGGACAGCCACUUCGGGGCUGGGAGAUCUUCCCCUGGCAAAUCAGGGAGUUUUGGGAAUUUCUAACCAAGCAUCCCCCUUCCCUGGGACGAGCUGAGCCGUUCUGCCCCGAGCCCGUGGGGGCUGCGCUUGCCAGGGCUUGUGUUCCCCCCAGCACCUCCAGCCAAGCUCAUUUCCCCAGUUAAACGUUAUUAGUCCUUGAAUGAAAGGAGGAGGGAGGCAGAGAGGAAGGAUUUUUAUUGGGAAGUCGUUUGUUCCUUAAUUGAAUUGCUCCCGUUAACAGCGGUGAGAGAAGGGGAACAAAAAGCCAAAUGGGAGGUAAAGGCGCUUAUUUGCUUCUGCUUGAGAGGAGCUAAUAUUAAUAAACUUCUGGAUGAAGGGAUUUGUAAGGGUUUG
RNAcentral lists this long non-coding RNA (1600 nucleotides) under Lepidothrix coronata (blue-crowned manakin). RNAcentral describes it as "lncRNA (ENSLCOG00000015513.1)". The record is from RNAcentral. Lineage: Eukaryota; Metazoa; Chordata; Aves; Passeriformes; Pipridae.